RNAcentral lists this ribosomal RNA (231 nucleotides) under uncultured bacterium. RNAcentral's name for it is "partial 16S ribosomal RNA". It matches the Rfam family "Bacterial small subunit ribosomal RNA", at positions 118 to 347 of the family's 1533-position model. The record is from RNAcentral.
UGAGUAACCUGCCCUUCACUCCGGGAUAACUCCGGGAAACCGGGGCUAAUACUGGAUAUGACUCGAACAGGCAUCUGUUUCGGGUGGAAAGAUUUAUUGGUGGAGGAUGGACUCGCGGCCUAUCAGCUUGUUGGUGAGGUAAUGGCUCACCAAGGCGACGACGGGUAGCCGGCCUGAGAGGGCGAUCGGCCACACUGGGACUGAGACACGGCCCAGACUCCUACGGGAGCA